ACUCCAAAUCUCGUCUAGGGUUCCAGUGCACUGUUCCGGGAAGCUUCAGGCAGGACCUAACCUGCAAAACAACGCUACACGGGGGGUGACAUCCCGUGAGGCGCCUCCGGCGUGAUAAUCAGUGAUUUGGAUGUGCUUGACAAGUAAGGGAAAUCAGAGAGUUUUCACUCUAAAUGUAGGGUGCGAGAUGCUUUUUUGAGAGAGUUUUGGGAGAAAUUUGCACUUACCUUCCACUUUGGCUGGGGAGUGCUUUAUAUAGGCCCUUGGCCGCCACUGUUGCUACAGUGGCGGGAAUGGGUCUAUAGCCACUCCCCAGCAUGGGUGGCUGUUUUGGUGCAACUACUGUCCUUUUUCCUGUCCUUUUGGGAUUUGCGCGUGCUUAUUAUCCUGUUUGCCUUGUACUUGGUAAUGAUGAGGUCUGACUUUGGGGAUCUCCAAGUCCUGUAGCGGGGGCGGGUACUGUUGGCGGUCACUGUAGCGUGGUACCUUAUCAUUGCCCCCCUACUCCUUCCAUCUGCUUUAGCGGGUGGGGGGAGUAAGUAAAAUCCUUCCCGCAAAGGUGCACUUCCGGGUUGUAUGCGGGCUAGCGUGUUUGUUGUUAGUGGCUGGGCUGAGGUGGCGGGUUAUUGGCGUGAUUUACCCGGGUUGUGUUUGCUGGGCCAUGGAUUUCAAAAUUUUCAAAAGGUGUGAAGCCUUUUGCCGCCUGGUCUUGUCGUUCCGUAUGGGGAAUGUACGGUUUUUCCACGUGGCGUGCUGUGAGUGGUUGAUGUCGUAUCUGCAUGCCAGGUUAAUUUGACUGAUGGUAUGUUGUGCGGAUAUUUGUGCCAAUUAAUUACUGGCACAGAUACAUGUAUGAGGCUUUUGACGGGGGUGAUGGAUGUGUAUUUUUUGGCGCUUCAACUGCCUAGGGAAGUAACGGCUGAAGUUCAAAGGGCUGGAGUGCUGUCUAUAUAAAGGGAGUUUUAUCUUGGCGAAAAGUGCUCAGUUCAUCGCGUAUCUUUGUAAAAGCUUGUCUCUGCAAUAUUGGUGAUAUGUCUUCCGACAGCUCUGCAGCUAGUUCUAACCUGUACUAUGGCCGGUCGAGCGAGUGGCGCCGGCGUCAGGACCUGAUCAACCGGAUUCGCCGGUUGCCGGCCGAGCUUAUCACGGUGAGAAUCGCAGAGGCUUUGGAGGACGAGGAGCAGUCCUAUGAGUCUGCUCUGGAGAUUGUUUACCAUGAGCUUCUGCUACCGGGUCGCGCCCGGGACGCGGAGGAGGUGGACGGGCGGUUGAUGGUGCCGAUUGACAACCCGCCGGUUCCUCCUGGUGUCACGGUGCGGGAGCGUUUGCGGGACGCUGAGGUGGAGAGGGACGGCCUGCUUACCAGGCUGGAGGCUGUAGAUGAGCGGAUUGCGGAGUUGAGGGCUCAACUUCCUUAGGCAGUUUCGACGCGGGAUUAGCCCGCGUCCGAUUGUAUAUUUAUUCCUGUCUUAAUGCAAAACUGUUGAUUAGAUUCGCA
Long non-coding RNA from Daucus carota subsp. sativus, 1498 nucleotides. RefSeq lists it as uncharacterized. NCBI's taxonomy places the organism in Eukaryota, Viridiplantae, Streptophyta, Magnoliopsida, Apiales, Apiaceae. The transcript has 2 exons. The record is from RefSeq and is a predicted model, not a curated record.